Ananas comosus (pineapple) is the source of this 744-nucleotide long non-coding RNA. RefSeq lists it as uncharacterized. NCBI's taxonomy places the organism in Eukaryota, Viridiplantae, Streptophyta, Magnoliopsida, Poales, Bromeliaceae. The record is from RefSeq and is a predicted model, not a curated record. The transcript is spliced from 3 exons.
AGCUGCUGCAAUCCUAUCACAAUAGCUGCUCCGGCCAUGAAGCCAACGAUGGCAGCGUGCGAGAGGAAGUCCACAAGAAAACCCAGCCUGGAUAAAAGGGCAGAAGUAGCAAAACGAAGAAAAGGGUAAAAGCAAAGGCACCAGAAAAGCUUGAUCCCUAGCAGAAGGUCUACAUGAUUGUGCUUAAGGCUACAUUCACAGGCAAAGCCUUCACCUGAGCCGGACCUGACGUUAUAUCACGACAGUUUUACAUGCAUCUCUAUCAAGAGGCCAAUCAAAUUCAUAAUGUGGUGAAAUUCAGAGGCUGCUGCAGGGUCUGCACCGCCACUUCAACGAAACAGUUGCUGCAAUGAUCAAUUCACGGCGAAGUGAGAUUCGAUCGCCAGAACAGGGUCUAUACCACCGUUUCAAACAAUCACGGCUCCAAAAAGAUCCGACCUUCUUGUCAAAAUUAUUGGCGUAUCAUUUCUCUUGAGAUAAAAAGUAAUGCUACACUUGCAGUAGUUUUUUCAAAAGUAUAAAAAAUCGCAAACAUAUCUUCUUAUGUGUGUACUAUACACUCUUCUUUAAUGCUUUGUCCUCCUUUCAACGAUUCGCUGAAUUUGUUGCACUUUCCUUUAUCUUGUUUAGUAAUUUGUAAAGUGAUUCUAGUGUCUUUUGAUAAGAGCCAAUGAAGCUCUAUUCCAUUAUUUUGAGACAGUGUAUAUAUAUACAAAACAUUUAGGCAAAAGAAUGUUGCUAGUA